This 276-nucleotide ribosomal RNA is filed under the name uncultured Clostridiaceae bacterium. RNAcentral's name for it is "partial 16S ribosomal RNA". It matches the Rfam family "Bacterial small subunit ribosomal RNA", at positions 527 to 802 of the family's 1533-position model. Lineage: Bacteria; Bacillati; Bacillota; Clostridia; Eubacteriales; Clostridiaceae. The record is from RNAcentral.
GUAGGGGGCAAGCGUUAUCCGGAUUUACUGGGUGUAAAGGGAGCGCAGACGGCCAAGCAAGUCUGAAGUGAAAUGCAUGGGCUCAACCCAUGAAUUGCUUUGGAAACUGUUAGGCUUGAGUGUCGGAGAGGUAAGCGGAAUUCCUAGUGUAGCGGUGAAAUGCGUAGAUAUUAGGAGGAACACCGGAGGCGAAGGCGGCUUACUGGACGACAACUGACGUUGAGGCUCGAAGGCGUGGGGAGCAAACAGGAUUAGAUACCCUGGUAGUCAAGGGCG